RNAcentral lists this long non-coding RNA (532 nucleotides) under Phoenix dactylifera (date palm). Its description in RNAcentral is "long non-coding RNA (PDAC_LNC020815)". Lineage: Eukaryota; Viridiplantae; Streptophyta; Magnoliopsida; Arecales; Arecaceae. The record is from RNAcentral.
ACAACUUCAGGAGAAAAAAAGGCAUUUACCUAUUACAGAGAUGGUGCGAUUUGAUUCUUUUUUCUUCUUUUUUUAGACUUCAGUAUUAUGAGAAAGAUACGUGAUUCGGGAUAGAAAGAACCAAAUUAUUGAAAUAAACCUACGCUUGGUGAAGGUGAGUUUGAAGAUAGAACAAUUCCUUCUGUCGUGUAUCCUCGAUUGAUGCAGCCUCGGAUGCUUCAAUUGUUAAUUUGAGUAUUGAGCGAAAGGUUACACCUAUAGGUUCUAUAUUGUAGGUCAAUCCUAUUCCACUAGUACCAAUAGGCAGCAUAGGGGAAGAAGCACUACACCAAGGAAUCAACAAUACGAAAACUUUGUUAUAUAUUUCCCUUUUCCUUAUUGGUAUCGGGACUAACAAGAAUGGUUGGGACAACAAACAUCCAUACAAUAUCUGGUAUUUCAAAUCUAAUUGAAGGCUCCGGAAGAGCCUGUAUGGUGUUGCCUGGAGCAACAGUAUUAUCAAUAAGCGAUGCCUUGUUUUGUAGUAGAUCCC